RNAcentral lists this ribosomal RNA (1200 nucleotides) under uncultured marine eukaryote. RNAcentral describes it as "SSU rRNA". It matches the Rfam family "Eukaryotic small subunit ribosomal RNA", at positions 405 to 1781 of the family's 1831-position model. The record is from RNAcentral.
GGGGCAUACACAGAUGGAGCAGGCGCGCAAUUACCCAAUGCGGACACUGUGAGGUAGUGACGAGAAAUAAUAAAGCGGGACUUCUGUUUCGCUAUUAUAAUGAGGAAUAACCAAAGGUCAUUCCGAUUAGCAACUGAUGGGAAAGUCUGGUGCCAGCAGCCGCGGUAAUACCAGCGUCAGUAGCAUAUAUUAAAAUUGUUGCAGUUAAAACGUCCGUAGUCUGUACGUCGUCCCAAACUCACUGCAGUCUUCCGUUUUCUUGAUUGAAUGCGGUAGUCUCUGCAGUCACUCCCUUGAUCAAAUUAAGUUGUUCAAGGUAGACCAAGUCUUCAUAUUUUCACAUGGAAUUGGGUGAGGGAACUUAAGAGUUUAAGUUUCUCGUCUUAGGAUCAUCCGGGGUCAUUCGUACUCGUCCGCGAGAGGUGAAAUUCUUGGACCGGACGAAGACGACCAGCAGCGAAAGCAUCUGUCAGGGAUGUUUUCUGCGACAAAGGACGAAGGUCAGGGUAUCGAAGACGAUUAGAUACCGUCGUAGUCCUGACUGUAAACUAUGCCAACUUGGGUCUUGCUGGGCGAUGCUUUGUGAGACCCACACAGAAAUGAAAGUGUAUGGGUUCUGGGGGUAGUAUGGACACAAGUCUGAAACUUGAAGGAAUUGACGGAAGAGCACCAUAAGACGUGGAGCUUGCGGCUUAAUUUGACUCAACGCGGGAAAACUUACCAGGUCAAGACAUGGGCGUGAUUGACAGGCUAAUGACUUUUCUCGAUUCCAUGGAUGGUGGUGCAUGGUCGCACUUAGUUGGUGCAGUGAUUUGUCAGGUUUAUUCCGGUAACGAACGAGACCUCGGCCUUGUAACUAGCUAUGCUGCUUACAGGGACAUUGGCGGCUACGCCAAGGAAGUUCGAGGCAAUUGCAGAUCUGGAAUGCCCUUAGAUGUCCUGGGUCGCACGCGUGCUACAAUGACGCCAUAAGCGAGUUUGCGUGAUGAAAGUCACGCAUAAUCAGCAAUCGGCGUCUUAAGGGAUAGUCUCUUGUAACUGUGGGACUCCAACUAGGAAUGUCUCGUAAGCACAAGUCAACAUCUUGUGUUGAUUACGUCCCUGCUCUUUGUACACACCGCGGCGUCGCUCCUACCGAUCGAGUGUUUAGAUGAAUAUGAUGGACGUAAGGAAGUCAAAUAAAUCGUAGCCUUAAAGAGA